AGUAUACAUAAGAGUUUGAUCAUGGCUCAGGAUGAACGCUGGCGGCGUGCUUAACACAUGCAAGUCGAACGGUGAAAGAGAGCUUGCUCUCUGGAUCAGUGGCGAACGGGUGAGUAACACGUGAGUAACCUGCCCUUGACUCUGGGAUAAGCGUUGGAAACGACGUCUAAUACCGGAUAUGACUUUCGGAGGCAUCUCCUGAAGGUGGAAAGAAUUUCGGUCAAGGAUGGACUCGCGGCCUAUCAGCUAGUUGGUGAGGUAAUGGCCCACCAAGGCGACGACGGGUAGCCGGCCUGAGAGGGUGACCGGCCACACUGGGACUGAGACACGGCCCAGACUCCUACGGGAGGCAGCAGUGGGGAAUAUUGCACAAUGGGCGCAAGCCUGAUGCAGCAACGCCGCGUGAGGGACGACGGCCUUCGGGUUGUAAACCUCUUUUAGUAGGGAAGAAGCGAAAGUGACGGUACCUGCAGAAAAAGCACCGGCUAACUACGUGCCAGC
This 501-nucleotide ribosomal RNA is filed under the name uncultured Microbacteriaceae bacterium. Its description in RNAcentral is "bacterial SSU rRNA". It matches the Rfam family "Bacterial small subunit ribosomal RNA", at positions 1 to 512 of the family's 1533-position model. Lineage: Bacteria; Bacillati; Actinomycetota; Actinomycetes; Micrococcales; Microbacteriaceae. The record is from RNAcentral.